AGGGGCGUAGCAUAACGGCAAUGCAGCAAGCUCUUAACUUGCCUCAUGAGGGUUCGACUCCCUUCGCCCCGCCCA
This 75-nucleotide transfer RNA is filed under the name Candidatus Saccharimonadota bacterium. RNAcentral's name for it is "tRNA-Lys". It matches the Rfam family "tRNA". From Rfam's summary of the family: Transfer RNA (tRNA) molecules are approximately 80 nucleotides in length. Their secondary structure includes four short double-helical elements and three loops (D, anti-codon, and T loops). The record is from RNAcentral. Lineage: Bacteria; Candidatus Saccharimonadota.